AACGAACGCUGGCGGCAGGCCUAACACAUGCAAGUCGAGCGGGACCUUCGGGUCUAGCGGCGGACGGGUUAGUAACGCGUGGGAACGUGCCCAAAGGUACGGAAUAGCCUCGGGAAACUGAGAGUAAUACCAUAUGUGCCCCUCGGGGGAAAGAUUUAUCGCCUUUGGAUCGGCCCGCGUUGGAUUAGGUAGUUGGUGGGGUAAUGGCCUACCAAGCCGACGAUCCAUAGCUGGUUUGAGAGGAUGAUCAGCAACACUGGGACUGAGACACGGCCCAGACUCCUACGGGAGGCAGCAGUGGGGAAUCUUAGACAAUGGGGGAAACCCUGAUCUAGCCAUGCCGCGUGAGCGAUGAAGGCCUUAGGGUUGUAAAGCGUCUUUCAGAUGGGAAGAUAAUGACGGUACCAUCAGAAGAAGCCCCGGCUAACUCCGUG
This 434-nucleotide ribosomal RNA is filed under the name uncultured bacterium. RNAcentral's name for it is "bacterial SSU rRNA". It matches the Rfam family "Bacterial small subunit ribosomal RNA", at positions 29 to 507 of the family's 1533-position model. The record is from RNAcentral.